CCUACGGGAGACAGCAGUGGGGGAUAUUGCACAAUGGGGGAAACCCUGAUGCAGCGACGCCGCGUGGGCGAAGAAGUAUUUCGGUAUGUAAAGCCCUAUCAGCAGGGAAGAAGAAAUGACGGUACCUGAGUAAGAAGCACCGGCUAAAUACGUGCCAGCAGCCGCGGUAAUACGUAUGGUGCAGGCGUUAUCCGGAUUUACUGGGUGUAAAGGGAGCGCAGGGGGCACGGCAAGCCUGAUGUGAAAGCCCGCGGGCCAACCGCGGGACUGCAGUGGGAACUACCGGGCUGGAGUGCCGGAGAAGUAGGCGGAAUUCCUAGUGUAGCGGUGAAAUGCGUAGAUAUUAGGAAGAACACCAGUGGCGAAGGCAGCCUACUGGACGGUGACUGACGCUGAGGCACGAAAGUGUGGGUAGCAAACAGGAUUAGAUACCCCUGUAGUC
RNAcentral lists this ribosomal RNA (442 nucleotides) under uncultured bacterium. Its description in RNAcentral is "partial 16S ribosomal RNA". It matches the Rfam family "Bacterial small subunit ribosomal RNA", at positions 338 to 795 of the family's 1533-position model. The record is from RNAcentral.